This 474-nucleotide long non-coding RNA is filed under the name Rattus norvegicus (Norway rat). Its description in RNAcentral is "long non-coding RNA NONRATT017829". Lineage: Eukaryota; Metazoa; Chordata; Mammalia; Rodentia; Muridae. The record is from RNAcentral.
CAGAGGGGGGAGGGAGAGAGCAAGAAAGAAAAUCAGGGAGCCGAAGGCUGAGUUGUCCUACUUCGAAGUCCUUCUCAGGAAGGCGAAAAGCUUCCUGGCAAACAGUCUGACGGCGCGCUGUGCUGGGGACCUGGCUAAGGGACAUUCGGCCUCCACAUAGUAGUCUGCAGUGGCCCCCGGAGCAGGACACUGGAGCCUGAGCGGUGGGUCCGGUCUAGGUUUCCCUCCGCUCCCCGGCGCUGCAACCCUGGGGCCGAGUGCUCGCCCUGCCUUCAGGUCCCUGCGCCCUUUCACCGCUCCACCUCCACCCUUCACCCCGAUACGUUUUGCCUCAGCGGCCUCUAGGUCACCCUCAGAAGCCAGCUCCGAGCCCACCGAAGCCCACGGCACGGAGCUCUGGAGCAGGCAGGGUCGUUGCGAGGAGGUGGCGGCUGCGAGAAGGGCCGGUGCCCGCCGCCCAGGAACAGGCGGCCG